UGUCUAUUAUAAUCUGUGAAAUUAUUUCCCAUUAUACAUGUUAUAAUACAUUUAUUUUAUUUUUUUUAUUUACUAAAUUAGCUUAACAUUGCGCGGGGAAAAAAUCUGACUCAGCGGAUAAAAAUUCCACUUGAAGAUUAAUGGUUGCUCCUUAAGGGGGGUCGAAGGUGGGGCAUCAUAUAUAUAUUGUAAGUAAAAUAGUCCCAUGUUUAAGGUUGCUCACUUUUGAGCAUCAUCGUCUGUUUUUAAUGCGAUCAUUUAUAUUUCAAUGAUUUCAACUGAAAUUUGUCUUUAUAUUUACUGAAGACUCGUCGACACUGUAGACAAAACUCAUCGCAAAAAUAUAAGAGAAGACAAAACCUGGGACUAUUAAAGUU
Molecule: long non-coding RNA, 377 nt
Filed under: Mytilus galloprovincialis (Mediterranean mussel)
Lineage: Eukaryota; Metazoa; Mollusca; Bivalvia; Mytilida; Mytilidae
Source: RNAcentral